UACGGGGGGUGCAAGCGUUGUUCGGAAUUAUUGGGCGUAAAGCGCGUGUAGGCGGUCUGAUUAGUCUGAUGUGAAAGCCCUGGGCUCAACCCAGGAAGUGCAUUGGAUACUGUCAGACUUGAAUACGGGAGAGGGUAGUGGAAUUCCUAGUGUAGGAGUGAAAUCCGUAGAUAUUAGGAGGAACACCGGUGGCGAAGGCGGCUACCUGGACCGAUAUUGACGCUGAGACGCGAAAGCGUGGGUAGCAAACAGG
Molecule: ribosomal RNA, 253 nt
Filed under: uncultured bacterium
Lineage: Bacteria
Also listed under: 1 other name
Description: partial 16S ribosomal RNA
Rfam family: Bacterial small subunit ribosomal RNA
Source: RNAcentral